This 362-nucleotide long non-coding RNA is filed under the name Capsicum annuum. RNAcentral's name for it is "long non-coding RNA (CANN_LNC021636)". The record is from RNAcentral. Lineage: Eukaryota; Viridiplantae; Streptophyta; Magnoliopsida; Solanales; Solanaceae.
AAUAAUAAAUAACAACAACAAAUAAAUAAAUAGCAAUGAGGCUCGGUUCACGCCGUCGCUUCAAGAAUGGGACUUUAACCCAUUUCCCUUCUUUCGACUCCUUGUAUCCAUAUGCGUUUUGUCUUUUUGGGUCUUCAAAUUCGACUCAAGACUAGGUGGGCCUCAAUGGCCCAUAAGGAACAUGCAAAGGGAAAGGGAGUCUGUGCGAGACUCGAGCGUAGCCACAUGCAAAAGGAAAGAAAAGGAAUUAAUGUGUGCUAACAUUAAUGAAUAAGAAAAAAUUCUAAGAUAUCAUGCAUCUUCCUCAAGAGUAGGCAAUAAACUAUAUCAAAGCUAGUUUAACAACGACAAAUUCAUCUUUG